AGUAUUUGAUGCAAAAGGCCAGGUGGUUCCUACCUUCCUUUUCAUCAUUUGCUUUUGUGAGAUUUGAUUUGUUUAUGUAGAACACUCAAAAGGAAAGAGAAACAAAUCUCAGAUUUUCUAGUACCAAAAUAUGUAUUUAUAUUAUAAUUGUUAGUUCUACUAGUACUAGGAUUGGGAAUCCUAAAAUAAGAAAAUACUAACAAAUACUAAUUAGGAGUAUAAAAAACCAAUACUAACUAGGAAAUU
RNAcentral lists this unclassified non-coding RNA (246 nucleotides) under Hevea brasiliensis (rubber tree). The record is from RNAcentral. Lineage: Eukaryota; Viridiplantae; Streptophyta; Magnoliopsida; Malpighiales; Euphorbiaceae.